GACGAACGCUGGCGGCGUGCUUAACACAUGCAAGUCGAACGGAAAGGCCCUGCUUGCAGGGUACUCGCGUGGCGAACGGGUGAGUAACACGUGGGUGAUCUGCCCUGCACUUCGGGAUAAGCUUGGUAAACUGGGUCUAAUACCGGAUAGGAGCCAUCUUUAGUGUGGUGGUUGGAAAGUUUUUUCGGUGUAGGAUGAGCUCGCGGCCUAUCAGCUUGUUGGUGGGGUAAUGGCCUACCAAGGCGGCGACGGGUAGCCGGCCUGAGAGGGUGUACGGCCACAUUGGGACUGAGAUACGGCCCAGACUCCUACGGGAGGCAGCAGUGGGGAAUAUUGCACAAUGGGCGCAAGCCUGAUGCAGCGACGCCGCGUGGGGGAUGAAGGCCUUCGGGUUGUAAACUCCUUUCGCUAGGGACGAAGCUUUGUUGUGACGGUACCUAGAUAAGAAGCACCGGCUAACUACGUG
Molecule: ribosomal RNA, 466 nt
Filed under: uncultured bacterium
Lineage: Bacteria
Description: partial 16S ribosomal RNA
Rfam family: Bacterial small subunit ribosomal RNA
Source: RNAcentral